CCCUUAGAUGUUCUGGGCCGCACGCGCGCUACACUGAUGCAUUCAACGAGUCUAAAACCUGGUCUGAUAGGGCUGGGUAAUCUUUUGAAUGUGCAUCGUGAUUGGGAUAGAUGAUUGCAAUUCUUCACCUUCAACGAGGAAUGCCUAGUAAACGCAAGUCAUCAGCUUGCAUUGAUUAUGUCCCUGCCCUUUGUACACACCGCCCGUCGCUCCUACCGAUUGAAUGUUCCGAUGAAUACCAUGGACUGAGAGUAUGAAUGGGUUCGCCUAUUUCUGCUUCUCGGGAAGUGGAGUAAAUCUUAACAUUUAGAGGAAGGAGAAGUCGUAACA
Molecule: ribosomal RNA, 330 nt
Filed under: uncultured eukaryote
Lineage: Eukaryota
Description: partial 18S ribosomal RNA
Rfam family: Eukaryotic small subunit ribosomal RNA
Source: RNAcentral